RNAcentral lists this long non-coding RNA (2191 nucleotides) under Homo sapiens (human). RNAcentral's name for it is "HSALNT0134747". The record is from RNAcentral. Lineage: Eukaryota; Metazoa; Chordata; Mammalia; Primates; Hominidae.
GUUGGCCAAACUGCAGAUGAUUCGUUUAAGGUGAGUUUCAGGCUGAAGAGAAGAGAGAGACCUGCGGCUGUUUCCGCCCACUCGUCCCAGCACAGCCACCAGAGAACGCCGCGUGGUUUGUUGUUUGGACCCUCCCAGAGCCUCUUCCAGAUGCUGUUGGAAAAAAAGAAAAGAAAAGCUGGGCAGCCAGUGUCACAGCCCAGAUGCCAUCUCGGUCUAUCCGCGGAAAUGCAAGCACGCAGCGCCAAGCCCAACCCAGUAGGUGCCAGGCCCUGGGUGCAGGCUUCAGCUUCACGCCACAUCCUCUCUCUCUUUUCAGUCUCUGAGUGACUUGACUCAGCCAGGGAGAGGAGAUACCUACACAUCCGCAUGAAGGCGCGUGGGAGGAAGCCGAGAAAUGACGGAUGGCGCAGGGCCUACUGCAGCCGCACGUAGACUAGCUCCUUCUUUACGGGCAAAACCCCCUACUUGUCUGCAGUGGGAAAGGAGUCCGUUCAGGGCAAGCUCUGAUCGCUGAGCUAUGGAUGUAGAUGGUAACUAGGCGUCUGGAGGUCAUUACACACCAUAUUCGGAUGGUGGAAAUCAUUGCUUAUUUCAGGACACUAAAAUGGUCCAUUUUUAUGUAUUAAAGUUAUUAAGAAUGAACUGGCUGGGCCGGAGUUGUGGCUCACUCCUGUAAUCCCAAGACUUAAGGAGGCGGAGGCGGAGGCGGAGGCGGGAGGAUCGUUUGAGGCCAGGAGUUCAAGACCAGACUGGGCAACAUAGUGAGAUACACACCCCACCGCCACCACCACCCCAACAAAAAACUUAACAAUUAGCUGGGCUUGUGGGUAUGUGACUUAGUCCCAGCUACUCCGGAGGCUGAGGUGGGAGGAUCACUGGAGUCCAGGAGCUCCAGGCUGCAGUGAGCUAUGUGAUUACACCGCUGCACUCUAGGCUGGGCAACAGAGGGAGACUCAAAAAAAAAAAAAAAAGAGCAAAUGGCUGGCUCACUGUAAGGAAUUUUGGAAUUUUAUCUGGUUAAAACAGGCUCUUCCCGCCCACUUCCUCACCCGCCUGGCUGUGCCUGCCCCAGUCCCACCCUGAGUGGUGGCUUACCCAGGUGUGGCCGCCCUGUGGUCAGCUCAGGAGGCAUCUCCGGGUGGGAAGGUGACUUAGUUGUCUCACAGUAAAGUUACACUGGGCCUCAGUAGAUAGUCUUUGGUCCCCUGUAUCAGCAUCCCCAGAGAGCUGUGCAAAUGCACAUUCCUGGCCCUAUGGCACUCUAAGCUGGACUCUGGGAGUGGCAGCUCAGAAGCUUUAGUAUAAGCAAGCUCCCGGCUGUUUCUUGUUGCAGAUUAGGGUUUGAGAACCACUCCUCUUUCGCCACAUUGUAAACUCACUAAAUGCUCUCCUAGUGAGUAAAUAAAUAUAAUAGAAUCUAACUCCUGCAAAGGUAUUAACCAGUCUGUCUAACAAUGGUGGACAUUUUUGUAAAGAAACUCUUGAAGUUUUCAAAACUUAAGUUUAAAAUGGCAGCUCCUUGGUUUGUGGGGAGAGCUGUCAGAGUGGGAACCCUGUCCACAUCCCCCCAGAUAUUCACAUACACCCACUACUCAUAGACUCCCAAUCCCAUGGCGAAGAACACGAUCUUGUUGGUGUUAUUUUCUCACUGCCUACCAAGCUGCCCAGCAGGCACUUUACAGACUUUAUCUCCAUAUUCAUAUCAGCGUACAAAGUACAAGUCCCAAUUUCCAGACAAGGAAACUGGGGUUCAGAAAGAUUAAACAAUUUGCCUUCUUAUAUUGCUACUAAGGGCCAAGGUGCAGAUUCAAAUCCAUUCAAGUCCCAAAGCUUGCAUGAUCUUACCACAGUCACCAAAAUCUAUUUCAUAAGUUCAAAAUGGCAUCAGAGGUUCAUAAUCAGGACAGGCAAUGCCCUGCAGGUUUAUCUAGAACACCUUUCCCACUUUACAGAUAAGAGGCAAUGCAGUAUGAACCUGAGGCUAGCUGAUAUGAUUUGUCUGAGCUGCUUAGUUUUGUUUAAGAAACUUGAAUUAUUCAAUAUUGAAAAUCCUUGAGAUUUUACACUAAAACUCAGACUUUUUCUCUCUUAUAAAAGCAGAUUUUUGUAACCCCGAACCCCAUUCCUGAUUCUGUUCAUGGUUAACUGUAUAGGUUUUGAAAUCCACAGACGUGGGUUUGAGUCCUGG